GUGGGUGACUAAUGACAGAGUGAGGAAAGGGGUGACACAGUGACAGAGUGAAGAAGGGGGUGACACAGUGACAGAGAGAGGGAUGGGGUGACUAGUGACAGUUACCCCCUCCCUCACUCUGUCACUAGUCACUCCCUCCCUCUGUCACCAGUCAUCCCCUCACUCUGUCACCAGUCAUCCCCUCACUCUGUCACUAGUAACCCCUUCCCUCCCCCACUCUGCCACUAGUCACCCAUUCCCUAACUCUGUCACUAGUCAACCCCUCUCCCUCUGUCACUAGUCACCCAC
Pelobates cultripes (western spadefoot toad) is the source of this 288-nucleotide non-coding RNA. The record is from the annotation of a GenBank genome assembly. NCBI's taxonomy places the organism in Eukaryota, Metazoa, Chordata, Amphibia, Anura, Pelobatidae.